This 253-nucleotide ribosomal RNA is filed under the name uncultured bacterium. RNAcentral's name for it is "partial 16S ribosomal RNA". It matches the Rfam family "Bacterial small subunit ribosomal RNA", at positions 524 to 776 of the family's 1533-position model. The record is from RNAcentral.
UACGUAGGGGGCAAGCGUUGUCCGGAUUUAUUGGGCGUAAAGAGCGUGUAGGCGGCCAGAUAAGUCCGCUGUGAAAUCUCGAGGCUCAACUUCGAGCUGUCGGUGGAAACUGUCUGGCUAGAGUCCGGAAGAGGAGAAUGGAAUUCCUGGUGCAGCGGUGAAAUGCGCAGAUAUCAGGAAGAACACCCGUGGCGAAGGCGGUUCUCUGGGACGGUACUGACGCUGAGACGCGAAAGCGUGGGGAGCGAACAGG